Long non-coding RNA from Sapajus apella (tufted capuchin), 148 nucleotides. RefSeq lists it as uncharacterized. The transcript is spliced from 3 exons. NCBI's taxonomy places the organism in Eukaryota, Metazoa, Chordata, Mammalia, Primates, Cebidae. The record is from RefSeq and is a predicted model, not a curated record.
AUAUUUUUAUUUUCUUCUUUGUCUCAUAAUAAGAAAUCAACUUGUAGACCUCUAGAUCCAGGUUGGCAAUGUCUCUCUCACUGCCUGAUUUCCUUCCUUUCUUUCUCUCCCUUCCUUCCUCCCUCCCUCCCUCCUUUCCUUCCUUCCU